This 520-nucleotide unclassified non-coding RNA is filed under the name uncultured Archaeospora. RNAcentral's name for it is "SSU rRNA". It matches the Rfam family "Eukaryotic small subunit ribosomal RNA", at positions 569 to 1093 of the family's 1831-position model. Lineage: Eukaryota; Fungi; Glomeromycota; Glomeromycetes; Archaeosporales; Archaeosporaceae. RNAcentral also lists the same sequence under 1 other name. The record is from RNAcentral.
AGCAGCCGCGGUAAUUCCAGCUCCAAUAGCGUAUAUUAAAGUUGUUGCAGUUAAAAAGCUCGUAGUUGAAUUUUGGGUUUGGCCAAUUGGUCCGUUCUUGUAACGAGUACUGGUUGGUUGGGCCUCACCGCCUGGUGAUACGUAAUGUCCUUUAUUGGGUGUUGCGAGUAGCCAGGAACCUUUACCUUGAAAAAAUUAGAGUGUUUAAAGCAGGCUUAUGCCGGAAUACAUUAGCAUGGAAUAAUAGAAUAGGACGAUGAUUCUAUUUUGUUGGUUUCUAGGAGCAUCGUAAUGAUUAAUAGGGAUAGUUGGGGGCAUUAGUAUUCAAUUGUCAGAGGUGAAAUUCUUGGAUUUAUUGAAGACUAACUACUGCGAAAGCAUUUGCCAAGGAUGUUUUCAUUAAUCAAGAACGAAAGUUAGGGGAUCGAAGACGAUCAGAUACCGUCGUAGUCUUAACCAUAAACUAUGCCGACUAGGGAUCGGGCGAUGUUGUUUCAAUGACUCGCUCGGCACCUUAUGG